UACGGAGGGUGCGAGCGUUAAUCGGAAUUACUGGGCGUAAAGGGUGCGUAGGUGGUUGAUUAAGUUAUCUGUGAAAUCCCCGGGCUCAACCUGGGCAGGUCAGAUAAUACUGGUUAACUCGAGUAUGGGAGAGGGUAGUGGAAUUUCCGGUGUAGCGGUGAAAUGCGUAGAGAUCGGAAGGAACACCAGUGGCGAAGGCGGCUACCUGGCCUAAUACUGACACUGAGGUACGAAAGCGUGGGGAGCAAACAGG
Molecule: ribosomal RNA, 253 nt
Filed under: uncultured bacterium
Lineage: Bacteria
Description: partial 16S ribosomal RNA
Rfam family: Bacterial small subunit ribosomal RNA
Source: RNAcentral